UCAAGUCACGCUUUCCGCCGGCCGAGCCGUCGGAAC
RNAcentral lists this small RNA (36 nucleotides) under Sinorhizobium meliloti 2011. RNAcentral describes it as "putative ncRNA". The record is from RNAcentral. Lineage: Bacteria; Pseudomonadati; Pseudomonadota; Alphaproteobacteria; Hyphomicrobiales; Rhizobiaceae.